AGCCGUGGCUCACACCCCGGCCUCUCCCCGCUGCGCCAUUGCCUGGACACUCGGCUGGGAGCAGGGAAACGCUCUCAAGGCACUCGUGACACAGAGGAGUCGACGAGCCACGGAUCUGAAUGGGGAAGAAACUCGAGGAGGCUUGUCUGGCACGAGGACGGACCCUGCCGGCGCCGCCUCAGCAUAGGGACAACAGAAGGGAAGUUUUUCUGCUCAAGAAGCCAGAAGAGCCAGAGACAAGUUGAUGGCCACUUUAAGCUUGACCCUCCGGCCGUAUUUGCCAACUCUCCCAAACACAAGGCUUCAGUGCUUCGACCACCGCUCCCGUGGCUGCCUGCAGGAACGGCCUUCCUGGAGGACAGGACAAGAGGGAGCCCAGAGGAGAACGAUGGGAUGGACCAGAUCCCUGUGCACUUGGGUUGGACGUGACACCAGGAAGGAGGGCCGAGAGAGUCUCUGUCAUCUCUGUGCCCAACGUGGGGCUCGAACUCAUGACCCCGACACCAAGAACUGCGCACACCUCACUGACUGAGCAAGCCGGCUCCUCAGAAGAUUUUUAUUUUAAAAUCUUUCUUGAGUCUUCUAAUUUUUCCUGUAUGUAACAUGUCACAGAAUUAACAACAAUGAAUGCCUCCAAGCUAAGCUGAUUACUUCUAGUAUAGCUGUGUUGUGCUGUGGAUUACCUAUUCAUUUGUCCUUCUCUUUAGACUGAGCUCAAAAGGAGGG
Neogale vison (American mink) is the source of this 726-nucleotide long non-coding RNA. RefSeq lists it as uncharacterized. The record is from RefSeq and is a predicted model, not a curated record. The transcript has 4 exons. Lineage: Eukaryota; Metazoa; Chordata; Mammalia; Carnivora; Mustelidae.